GAUGAACGCUGGCGGCGUGCCUAAUACAUGCAAGUCGAACGCAUAGCGAAAGGUGCUUGCACCUUUCAAGUGAGUGGCGAACGGGUGAGUAACACGUGGACAACCUGCCUCAAGGCUGGGGAUAACAUUUGGAAACAGAUGCUAAUACCGAAUAAAACUUAGUGUCGCAUGACACAAAGUUAAAAGGCGCUUCGGCGUCACCUAGAGAUGGAUCCGCGGUGCAUUAGUUAGUUGGUGGGGUAAAGGCCUACCAAGACAAUGAUGCAUAGCCGAGUUGAGAGAGUGAUCGGCCACAUUGGGACUGAGACACGGCCCAAACUCCUACGGGAGGCUGCAGUAGGGAAUCUUCCACGAUGGGCGAAAGCCUGAUGGAGCAACGCCGCGUGUGUGAUGAAGGCUUUCGGGUCGUAAAGCACUGUUGUAUGGGAAGAACAGCUAGAAUAGGAAAUGAUUUUAGUUUGACGGUACCAGACCAGAAAGGGACGGCUAACUACGUG
Molecule: ribosomal RNA, 497 nt
Filed under: uncultured bacterium
Lineage: Bacteria
Description: partial 16S ribosomal RNA
Rfam family: Bacterial small subunit ribosomal RNA
Source: RNAcentral